GAAGGUGAUGCCUGCCCGGUGACCUGAUGUUUAACGGCCGCGGUAUCCUAACCGUGCAAAGGUAGCGCAAUCAAUUGUCCCAUAAAUCGAGACUAGUAUGAAUGGCUAAACGAGGUCUUAACUGUCUCUUGCAGGCAAUCGGUGAAAUUGAUCUCCCUGUGCAAAAGCAGGGAUAAACCCAUAAGACGAGAAGACCCUGUGGAACUUCAAAAACAGCAGCCACCCCAAAUUACACACACACCCACCGGGCUCACUAACACACAAGCCACUGGCCUGCAUUUUUUCGGUUGGGGCGACCUUGGAGAAAAACAAAUCCUCCAAAAAUUAGACCACCCCUCUAGACUAAGAGCAACCCCUCAACGUGCUAAUAGUACCCAGACCCAAUAUAAUUGACCAAUGGACCAAGCUACCCCAGGGAUAACAGCGCAAUCUCCUUCAAGAGUCCAUAUCGACAAGGAGGUUUACGACCUCGAUGUUGGAUCAGGACAUCCUAGUGGUGCAGAAGCUACUAAGGGUUCGUUUGUUCAACGAUUAACAGUCCU
Molecule: ribosomal RNA, 542 nt
Filed under: Phoenicurus phoenicurus (common redstart)
Lineage: Eukaryota; Metazoa; Chordata; Aves; Passeriformes; Muscicapidae
Description: partial 16S ribosomal RNA
Rfam family: Bacterial large subunit ribosomal RNA
Source: RNAcentral